AGCGCAGGCGGUCUGAUCAGUCGGAUGUGAAAGCCCCGGGCUUAACCUGGGAAUUGCAUUCGAUACUGUCAGACUAGAGUAUGGGAGAGGGAAGUGGAAUUUCUAGUGUAGCGGUGAAAUGCGUAGAUAUUAGAAGGAACACCAGUGGCGAAGGCGGCUUCCUGGCCCAAUACUGACGCUCAGGCUCGAAAGCGUGGGGAGCGAACAGGAUUAGAUACCCUGGUAGUC
This 228-nucleotide ribosomal RNA is filed under the name uncultured bacterium. RNAcentral describes it as "partial 16S ribosomal RNA". It matches the Rfam family "Bacterial small subunit ribosomal RNA", at positions 568 to 795 of the family's 1533-position model. The record is from RNAcentral.